Molecule: ribosomal RNA, 484 nt
Filed under: uncultured bacterium
Lineage: Bacteria
Description: partial 16S ribosomal RNA
Rfam family: Bacterial small subunit ribosomal RNA
Source: RNAcentral
AUUGAACGCUGGCGGCAGGCCUAACACAUGCAAGUCGAGCGGAUGAAGGGAGCUUGCUCCUGGAUUCAGCGGCGGACGGGUGAGUAAUGCCUAGGAAUCUGCCUGGUAGUGGGGGAUAACGUCCGGAAACGGGCGCUAAUACCGCAUACGUCCUGAGGGUGAAAGGGGGGGUUCUUCGGACCUCACGCUACCAGAUGAGCCUAGGUCGGAUUAGCUAGUUGGUGGGGUAAAGGCCUACCAAGGCGACGAUCCGUAACUGGUCUGAGAGGAUGAUCUGUCACACUGGAACUGAGACACGGUCCAGACUCCUACGGGAGGCAGCAGUGGGGAAUAUUGGACAAUGGGCGAAAGCCUGAUCCAGCCAUGCCGCGUGUGUGAUGAAGGUCUUCGGAUUGUAAAGCACUUUAAGUUGGGAGGAAGGGCAGUAAGUUAAUACCUGGCUGUUUUGACGGUACCAACAGAGUAAGCACCGGCUAACUACGUG